RNAcentral lists this long non-coding RNA (840 nucleotides) under Ananas comosus (pineapple). RNAcentral describes it as "long non-coding RNA (ACOM_LNC001091)". Lineage: Eukaryota; Viridiplantae; Streptophyta; Magnoliopsida; Poales; Bromeliaceae. The record is from RNAcentral.
UAAUCAUGUGUAUGAAUGCAUGCAUCAUAUAGUACAAGUUUACUAUUAUGCUAACAAGAUCGAUCCAUGUUCGAUGAAUAAUGUUCAAUAUCAGCAUUAACUUUUCAUUUACCCAAUCUGUGGCAAAAACCAUGGGGUUUGCUUUCAUCUCACAUCUAUAUCCCUCUAGGUAAGGAGCUCCAUGUGCUCUCAGACCCGGGAUUGUCUGUGGACCUCCAUGUGGUCCCUAUCGCCCGACACUUCGGAGUACUCGACGACCAAUCCUCUCCAUGUGAGGAUAUGGAUGGCUUUACCAUCCCGAAUAACAGACCGUGAGUUGAUCUAUCCUCUCCACGUCAGGAUACCCUACGAACUAGGGCCAACACUUCUCGAAACUCAUUUAUUCCGAUAAUCCUGCAAAACACUUAGCUUUACUAAAUUCAUUGUUCACAAGGCAUUUUCUAAGGAAUUCCACCUAUCCCUAAGUCCAUAGACUUCUAGUGUCAAAUACACUACAUUAAUGCCACUCGUUUUGUUCAUUAAACAUUAGAUGCCACUCUCUAUGUCACUAAAUAAUCAUCGAGUCCAUCUCUUAUCUUUAGCACUAUAGGAUCCAUGUUCCGACCCAAUCCUCACCUAUCCAUUUCACCGAGCGUUCCAAGUACACUAGGUUAACAUUUAGAAAGCAUAAGGAAAGGUACUACAAUGCAAUCCUACAAUGCAACAUGCAAGAGAUGAAAAUUAUAUUAUUCUAAGACAUAGAAAAGGGCUCGGUUGCUUCGGGAUGACACCCCCCAUCUUUUAUAGUCGUAGAGGUUCUAGAAAUGCCCUUCGACGUUCUUUACGAUAAAGUCUUGGCCU